AUGUCCAGCAGUACCACUUAUGCUACCGGCACCGGCACUGCGCCGCCCGGAUUGCAGUACCCCAUGCUCGGCAGUGCACUAUCGCAUGACAGCCAGUACAGCGACAGCUUCAAACCUGCGAGCCUUGGUCUCUGCUUCCCUACCAGACUGCUCUUUGCUGACAGCGAUGCUUAUGUAGUGGACGGUUAUGCGCAGCACCACCGCCACCAUGCCCGUGGGAACUGGAUGGAGCAGUGGGCGGCGGCGCAAAUGGACAGCUUCCAGUUCAUGCACGUCAUGGAUCAUCAGAUGUCUGGACAGCCAGUCGAGGCAAUGCCCAUCACAAUGGUUACUACCAUGCAGGGCAUGUUCCACCUAGGGUAG
This 363-nucleotide ribosomal RNA is filed under the name Triticum aestivum (bread wheat). RNAcentral describes it as "partial small subunit ribosomal RNA". The record is from RNAcentral. Lineage: Eukaryota; Viridiplantae; Streptophyta; Magnoliopsida; Poales; Poaceae.